UGCGUAGAUAUCCGGAGGAACACCGAAGGCGAAGGCAGUGUCCUGGCUGGUACCUGACGCUGAGGGGCGAAAGCUAGGGGAGCGAACGGGAUUAGAUACCCCGGUAGUCCUAGCCGUAAACGAUGACCACUAGGUGUGCGAGGUAUCGACCCCUUGCGUGCCGUCGCCAACGCAAUAAGUGGUCCGCCUGGGGAGUACGGUCGCAAGAUUAAAACUCAAAGGAAUUGACGGGGACCCGCACAAGCAGCGGAGCGUGUGGUUUAAUUCGAUGCAACGCGAAGAACCUUACCAGGGUUUGACAUGCUUUUGCACCGCCGAGAGAUCGGCGUCCUCGCAAGAGGCGGGAGCACAGGUGCUGCAUGGCUGUCGUCAGCUCGUGCCGUGAGGUGUUGGGUUAAGUCCCGCAACGAGCGCAACCCCCAUGCUCGGUUGUAUGUUUCCGAGCAGACUGCCACGAUCAACGUGGAGGAAGGUGGGGAUGACGUCAAGUCAGCACGGCCCUUACGUCCUGGGCGACACACACGCUACAAUGGCCGAGACAACGGGACGCCAACCCGUGAGGGGGAGCCAAUCCCAGCAAACUCGGUCUCAGUUCAGAUUGCAGGCUGCAACCCGCCUGCAUGAAGAUGGAGUUGCUAGUAACCGUGGGUCAGCACACCACGGUGAAUACGUUCCCGGGUCUUGUACACACCGCCCGUCACACCACGAAAGUCGGCAACACCUGAAGCCGCUGGGCUAACCUCGCAAGAGGAGGCACGCGUCGAGGGUGGGGUCGGUGAUUGGGGUGAAGUCGUAACAAGGUACCAAUCCCGCGG
RNAcentral lists this ribosomal RNA (815 nucleotides) under uncultured bacterium. Its description in RNAcentral is "bacterial SSU rRNA". It matches the Rfam family "Bacterial small subunit ribosomal RNA", at positions 687 to 1510 of the family's 1533-position model. The record is from RNAcentral.